UGGGGAAUAUUGCACAAUGGGGGAAACCCUGAUGCAGCGACCCCCCGUGGAGGAAGAAGGUCUUCGGAUUGUAAACUCCUGUUGUUGGGGAAGAUAAUGACGGUACCCAACAAGGAAGUGACGGCUAACUACGUGCCAGCAGCCGCGGUAAAACGUAGGUCACAAGCGUUGUCCGGAAUUACUGGGUGUAAAGGGAGCGCAGGCGGGAAGACAAGUUGGAAGUGAAAUCUAUGGGCUCAACCCAUAAACUGCUUUCAAAACUGUUUUUCUUGAGUAGUGCAGAGGUAGGCGGAAUUCCCGGUGUAGCGGUGGAAUGCGUAGAUAUCGGGAGGAACACCAGUGGCGAAGGCGGCCUACUGGGCACCAACUGACGCUGAGGCUCGAAAGUGUGGGUAGCAAACAGGAUUAGAUACCCUGGUAGUCCACACCGUAAACGAUGAUUACUAGGUGUUGGAGGAUUGACCCCUUCAGUGCCGCAGUUAACACAAUAAGUAAUCCACCUGGGGAGUACGACCGCAAGGUUGAAACUCAAAGGAAUUGACGGGGGCCCGCACAAGCAGUGGAGUAUGUGGUUUAAUUCGACGCAACGCGAAGAACCUUACCAAGUCUUGACAUCCCUUGACAGACAUAGAAAUAUGUUUUCUCUUCGGAGCAAGGAGACAGGUGGUGCAUGGUUGUCGUCAGCUCGUGUCGUGAGAUGUUGGGUUAAGUCCCGCAACGAGCGCAACCCUUAUGGUCAGUUACUACGCAAGAGGACUCUGGCCAGACUGCUGUUGACAAAACGGAGGAAGGUGGGGAUGACGUCAAAUCAUCAUGCCCUUUAUGACUUGGGCUACACACGUACUACAAUGGCGUUAAACAAAGAGAAGCAAGACCGCGAGGUGGAGCAAAACUCAGAAACAACGUCCCAGUUCGGACUGCAGGCUGCAACUCGCCUGCACGAAGUCGGAAUUGCUAGUAAUCGUGGAUCAGCAUGCCACGGUGAAUACGUUCCC
RNAcentral lists this ribosomal RNA (995 nucleotides) under uncultured bacterium. Its description in RNAcentral is "bacterial SSU rRNA". It matches the Rfam family "Bacterial small subunit ribosomal RNA", at positions 355 to 1375 of the family's 1533-position model. The record is from RNAcentral.